This 254-nucleotide ribosomal RNA is filed under the name uncultured bacterium. RNAcentral's name for it is "partial 16S ribosomal RNA". It matches the Rfam family "Bacterial small subunit ribosomal RNA", at positions 524 to 776 of the family's 1533-position model. The record is from RNAcentral.
UACGUAGGGGGCAAGCGUUGUCCGGAUUCAUUGGGCGUAAAGAGCUCGUAGGCGGCUUGGCAAGUCGGGUGUGAAAACUUCAGGCUCAACCUGGAGCGGCCACUCGAUACUGCCAUGGCUUGAGUCCGGUAGGGGACCACGGAAUUCCUGGUGCAGCGGUGAAAUGCGCAGAUAUCAGGAGGAACACCGAUGGCGAAGGCAGGUCUCUGGGCAUUAACUGACGCUGAGGAGCGAAAGCAUGGGGAGCGAACAGG